RNAcentral lists this ribosomal RNA (99 nucleotides) under Diplasiolejeunea ranomafanae. Its description in RNAcentral is "partial 26S ribosomal RNA". It matches the Rfam family "Eukaryotic large subunit ribosomal RNA", at positions 1 to 98 of the family's 3401-position model. Lineage: Eukaryota; Viridiplantae; Streptophyta; Jungermanniopsida; Porellales; Lejeuneaceae. The record is from RNAcentral.
GUGACCUCAGAUCAGGCAAGACCACCCGCUGAGUUUAAGCAUAUCACUAAGCGGAGGAAAAGAAACUAACAAGGAUUUCCCUAGUAACGGCGAGCGAAC